Molecule: ribosomal RNA, 331 nt
Filed under: uncultured eukaryote
Lineage: Eukaryota
Description: partial 18S ribosomal RNA
Rfam family: Eukaryotic small subunit ribosomal RNA
Source: RNAcentral
CCCUUAGAUGUUCUGGGCAGCACGCGCGCUACACUGACGGAGGCAGCGAGCAUGUCCUUCGCCGAGAGGUGUGGGGAAUCUUGUGAGUCUCCGUCGUGCUGGGGAUAGAUGGUUGCAAUUGUCGAUCUUGAACGAGGAAUUCCUAGUAAGCGCGAGUCAUCAGCUCGCGCUGAUUACGUCCCUGCCCUUUGUACACACCGCCCGUCGCUACUACCGAUUGGAUGGCUUAGCGAGAAUUUUGGAUCGGAGCCCGGGUGGUCGGCAACGGUCGCCCGGGAGAUCUGAGAAAUCAUUCCAGCUUGGUCAUCUAGAGGAAGUAAAAGUCGUAACA